GAGAAAGCUUGCUUUCUUGCUGACGAGCGGCGGACGGGUGAGUAAUGUAUGGGGAUCUGCCCGAUAGAGGGGGAUAACUACUGGAAACGGUGGCUAAUACCGCAUAAUGUCUACGGACCAAAGCAGGGGCUCUUCGGACCUUGCACUAUCGGAUGAACCCAUAUGGGAUUAGCUAGUAGGUGGGGUAAAGGCUCACCUAGGCGACGAUCUCUAGCUGGUCUGAGAGGAUGAUCAGCCACACUGGGACUGAGACACGGCCCAGACUCCUACGGGAGGCAGCAGUGGGGAAUAUUGCACAAUGGGCGCAAGCCUGAUGCAGCCAUGCCGCGUGUAUGAAGAAGGCCUUAGGGUUGUAAAGUACUUUCAGCGGGGAGGAAGGUGAUAAGGUUAAUACCCUUAUCAAUUGACGUACCCGCAGAAGAGCACCGCA
This 430-nucleotide ribosomal RNA is filed under the name Proteus mirabilis. Its description in RNAcentral is "bacterial SSU rRNA". It matches the Rfam family "Bacterial small subunit ribosomal RNA", at positions 72 to 497 of the family's 1533-position model. The record is from RNAcentral. Lineage: Bacteria; Pseudomonadati; Pseudomonadota; Gammaproteobacteria; Enterobacterales; Morganellaceae.